Molecule: transfer RNA, 88 nt
Filed under: Bacteroidales bacterium
Lineage: Bacteria; Pseudomonadati; Bacteroidota; Bacteroidia; Bacteroidales
Description: tRNA-Ser
Rfam family: tRNA
About the family: Transfer RNA (tRNA) molecules are approximately 80 nucleotides in length. Their secondary structure includes four short double-helical elements and three loops (D, anti-codon, and T loops). Further hydrogen bonds mediate the characteristic L-shaped molecular structure. tRNAs have two regions of fundamental functional importance: the anti-codon, which is responsible for specific mRNA codon recognition, and the 3' end, to which the tRNAs corresponding amino acid is attached (by aminoacyl-tRNA synthetases). tRNAs cope with the degeneracy of the genetic code in two manners: having more than one tRNA (with a specific anti-codon) for a particular amino acid; and 'wobble' base-pairing, i.e. permitting non-standard base-pairing at the 3rd anti-codon position.
Source: RNAcentral
GGAAAGAUGUCCGAGUGGUCGAAGGAGCACGCCUGGAAAGUGUGUAAACGCCGAAAGUGUUUCCUGGGUUCGAAUCCCAGUCUUUCCG